UUGAAGAACGUAUUACAUCUCUACUCAGAGCCACUAGAAGAAACAAUAAGUGCUACACUGAUUUUCCAAACAACGACGUUAACAGAAUCCUGUAACGUGUGUAAACUUAAAAUGUUUUAGAGUGAUACUUCGGGCAUUUAAUAAGUAAUCUUGAGCAGGUUAUACAUCAUAACGUAUCAAGUAGAAUCCUAAAGACCAUUAUUUUUCACUUUCACUAGGAAACAAACUGAAAUGCUCUCAUAAACACCAACGCUUCCAAGUUAACAUGACUGAAAUUCUUUACUCCAUUCAAACGUGUCGUAUCAAAGUCUCGUUUCAAUGAGACUUCACUAAAUAGACCUAUGUGGAUUUUAAAGAAGAACUGUUCAAAAAGUGUUUUGUCCGUCUGAAAACGACGCUGUCCAUCAGACAUCUUCUGUAGUCCGUUCAUAUUCUAUCUAUAUUGUGAGAUACGUUUUUUUUGCUAAAGAGCCGUGACAGUUCUAUUGAAACUUCUAUUCCAGUGGCAAAUGGCAGGUACAUAUUUAAGAAGGUACCAUAAGAUGAAGAUCUAGAUCACGAAAGUUACUGAAAAAUGUGUCGAAAUAUACAAGGAACCGGUGCAAAGUGGCGUUACCAUAGAUAAGAAACGUGUCGGUUUCUAAUAUAAAUGUAAAUUUGUGCUUGUACUCGACCACCGUACCAUGAACGCCCACUGAGGAGUCUAUGCAGGUCAAGUCUUCAGUUAUUCAUAGGGCGAGUUUGCUGUUAAGAUACGCCUAUAGAAUAAAGCCGUAAAAUACAGUUCAUUAACACAGGCAUUCUCCGAUUGAAGAAAGUUUUAAAAAAUCAGUUAAUUUGUUUUCAAGUCAUUUUCAUAGCAGGCUGUUUAUUUCUCAGUUUUUUAUUGUCAACCUGAUGACAAAUUCACAUUACAGCUAAGUUCUGUCCCGGCAGCUUUUAUAACCACGACUGCUACAUAAAACCCCUACCUGAACCCCUGAUUCCUUGUUGUAAAUUCGUAUCGACUGCUUGUUGCAAAACGACUUCAAAUUCAGUGUAAACACACGCCAAUAAAAGACUAGGAACUGAGCAUAAGAGAACUUCAAAUCAUUACUGUGAUUAUCUUUACUUGUAUUCUAGAUGUCAUCUGUCUCAGAUUGUGACGCUUACAGCUGCCAAAGAGUACGAAUACUUCUGACACUCCCUGCAAAUUCCUAACAUCUGUGUUAGAGAGAUUAAUUGUAUGUAUGAUACCUUCCAGUUUGAAACUUUGUGAGGGCCUUCUUAACACCUCUUGAAAAAUAUUCACCAAGAAGAUGAUUGUUGGACCGACUUCUUAAUGAAAGAGGUUAGUAGAAUGAAAAGUGGAUUAUACUGACUCUGGAUCGCGCACAACGACGUAGUGUGGUACUAAUGGCGUUAAACUUUUGGGUUCUAUCACUGUGUUAGAAAGUUUCUUACGAAUUUACAAUUACUAGUCAACACAUAAUAAAGAACAAUUGGUAAGGAGUGGAAAGAAAACUGACUGUAUUUAAAGAACUUUAAUAGAGACAAUGCACCGUAUUAUUGAGUGGUUAAUGUAAUAAACAGAUACGUAAAGGAACUACAAAUUCUAGAUUCUGCCAUUUGCUGAAUUUGCACGCGAACGACUUGUUUACAGAACCGGUGUCUUAUAUAGAAUAUCGCCAGAUCCGUCCAAAUUCGUAAUACGAGCUUAACACACACAUACAAUGUACGGUUCUGCUUUUCCUAAACCUGUGUUUCUUUUCUAAACACGUCACAACACCAGCGUAUUAAGUUCAGACAGUCGUACUCUUUUGAAUUCACUGGCAUUCCAAAUGUGUUCUUCACUCCAAAUCACAUCAUUGUUGUACAAAUAUGAUUUGAGGUCACUGUUCGUGGGGGCAAAACACCUGGAAAACUAUCGCUGGUAGUCAGGCCCCAACGAAGCAAGCAUCCUGCAUAAGGGUCUCGGUGAUACGCCCCACGGGUUAAAUAAAGACUCUUGGUUGUGGCGAAGAAUUGGAAGCAUUCCUUGGGGGUGUCCCAGGGGCAGCAGUCCCCGAGUGUGGAAUAAGCCUCAUGGGUGGCGAAGCCCCUCGUGGGCGUUUUCGAACCUCCUGAGGCCUG
Non-coding RNA from Zootermopsis nevadensis, 2112 nucleotides. NCBI's taxonomy places the organism in Eukaryota, Metazoa, Arthropoda, Insecta, Blattodea, Termopsidae. The record is from RefSeq and is a predicted model, not a curated record.